UACAGAGGUGGCUAGCGUUGUUCGGAUUCAUUGGGUGUAAAGGGUGCGUAGGCGGCUUGAAAAGUCAGAUGUGAAAGCCCGCAGCUCAACUGCGGAAUUGCAUUUGAAACUCUCAGGCUAGAGUGUGAGAGAGGUGAAGGGAAUUCCCGGUGUAAGGGUGAAAUCUGCAGAGAUCGGGAGGAACACCAGUAGCGAAGGCGCUUCACUGGCUCGCAACUGACGCUGAGUGCACGAAGGCGUGGGGAGCAAACGGG
This 254-nucleotide ribosomal RNA is filed under the name uncultured bacterium. Its description in RNAcentral is "partial 16S ribosomal RNA". It matches the Rfam family "Bacterial small subunit ribosomal RNA", at positions 524 to 776 of the family's 1533-position model. The record is from RNAcentral.